Non-coding RNA from Cinara cedri, 902 nucleotides. The record is from the annotation of a GenBank genome assembly. NCBI's taxonomy places the organism in Eukaryota, Metazoa, Arthropoda, Insecta, Hemiptera, Aphididae.
AGUAUAUUUUUAUAAGAUCUUGAAUAAUCAUGAUGGUAUUCAGUUUUCCAGUCGGUAUUACAAUAAAGCGUACCUAUCCGGGCGAGUAUACUAAUAUAUUAUUAUAAUUCGUCAAGAUUUGUUUUUUUUUUUCGAUUACGUUUUGGAAUUAUGCAAUUAUAUAAUAUUUUUAAAAAUGCGUCAUAUCCAAUGAGUGUAGCGAGGAAUGUAUUGGUUUUACUGUUAUACUUUUUUUUUUUUUUGUGCGUCUUUAAACCGCUAUUCUACCAGAAAUCUUGUUCCAAUCAAAAAUUGUAUAGGAACUUUGUUUCGAUCCGGUUAGUGUGUCGACAAAUUCAUUUUUUGAUUUUCCUUAUAAAUAAAUGGGUAAAACUGACAAUUUGUAUAAUUUUUGUACUUGAUUUCUGGGUUAUUUUGGCAAAAAGGGAAAUAUAAGAUUACUAAUACUUUGUUCAGAAUAGCUUUUCGUUAGCGUAUCCUCCCAUUUAACUUCCCUCUUAAAACAGUCGUCAUCAACAGUAUCAACCUUUAUUAUUGUUCAUUUAAAUCGUAAUAUUUUUUUGUUUUAAUCACGGUCACGUCACAUUACAGUUGAUCGCAAUAUAUAGCAGAUGGCAUGAUGACUGAUUCAGUACUCGAAUUUUGAAAAAUAAGAGUGAUUACCUAUAUAUUAUAUAUAAUAUACCCAUAUACCCGGGGUUAUAGGAUUCGUCGUCCGCCACAAUUCAAUAUAGGUAUAAUUAAUAAUUGUACAUGUUAUGAUAUAAUUAACUUGUGUUGUUAUUUUUUUCAUCAAUUUAGCGCUUGUUCUCGUAAAAAAAAAUUAAUAUUUCGGUUAAAUUAUACUGACUUUGUUAUUAGUCAAAAGUACAAUACAGCAAAAUAUAAUAAUGAUAACAAUG